UGGGCUUAAGUGACUUUGUUUAACAAGUUGGACUUGGCCCAACCUAAUCAUUAAUGGCCUAUUAUGCGACUUAUUAAACCAGUUAAUCUUCUUCCCGCUUUGGAGACGAACGGAGUUCACUUCCGGCCAUCGUGUCGUCGUCGCCGAUUCAUCCCGGUUAUUGAUUUGUGUCAUUAUACCAGUUGGCCAGUCCUAGAGCUGAUGCUACCCCUAAAUUACACAAACCCAACUCUGUUUAUCAUCAUCAUCUUCUUCAUCUUUUCAUGAAAUCUCUUCCUCUCUCAUCUCAUGGGUGUCGGUUUCACGGAUUGGUGGAGAAAUAGCAGCUGUUGGUUGAAACUAAAAAGGUAGGGUUUUGAAUAGCUGGAGAAUUGAGAGGUUUGUGAUGAGAAUGAGGGGAUGAAAUUAGGGUUUAGAGAGUACACGAGAAAGCAUCCACACACGCAUCCCUAUAGAUAGAUAUGGAGUAAGGACGAAAGCUGGUAAGAAGCAAUCAUCGGAAGAUGCUGGUGUCAAAAUUGCACAUUCUGCAGGUACUUCAAUGAGCUUGCCUUAAAUAAGGUAUGUUUUAACAUACAUAUUAAUUUUGAUUUUUUAUGAAAAUCAAAAUAUAUUCAUAUCAAUUCCAAUUUUGGAAAUUGUUGUUUUGACCUUUAUAGUCAAAGUGGGACAGGUAAAAGAGCUUUGUUCACCUCACUGAGCGGUGGAUACAGUUAGACUAUGAUUUGUAACGCCAGUAUGUAGAGGUUACCUAAUUUGAUGCUGAUUAUAUUAAACGGACAUUUGAAAUUUAGUGACGUUAUAUGACUGGGUUAUUAAAUUACUGUUCAUUCUUAUGCUGUCAGUUUACUGUGUUUAUGAUGUUCUAUCAAACUCUGCAUUUUGAUAUAAGAUUCUUGAACUCUGUUAUGCAUUUUGAUCUAGCUCAUUGUAUGGUUUGGUAUAAGAUAGACACGCUUGUGUAUCCAUUACGUGUAUCCAUGAGCGGCCCCACCUUAUAGAUGUAUGUACAUGACGUUGGAGUGACGCUGUAUAUUUUCAGGCAACAACACCUACAUUCAAUCACAGUAAACUUGAAUCACCGGAAGCUUGUAGGCUUUACGUCACAAACUUGAUGCAUAGUUACUUCUUUUGAAUUUUCCCAAGUAUUUGAAGAAGCUGAUAACUCAAUGAAGGUGAUUAUUAUCACUUGUUUUGUUCUGAAGCAAACAUAUCUCAUGCAUUCACAUUUUGUAAGAAUGUCAUGAUUACCUGGCCAUGCAAGAUGCUUAUGCCUAGUGAUUAGCAUAGCAGCACUCUGGAUUUUGGAAGGUUAUAUCGUCCCCCGUUGAUGCAGUGACAGAUACAUAUGGAACAUUUCUACCUGAUGGAACAGCUUUACAGUUUCAGCAGAUUCUGAGCUUAAGUGUUUUAGAGGUGCCAAAAUGGGUUGGUUGGACGGGUUGAAAUUUGAAUAACAGGUCAAAAUAAGUAAACUUUGUACUGGUCAAACAUGUCGUGUACUGGGUUGACCCAAAAAUACUUUAUGUCAAACAUUUUAAAUUGAGAUUUAAAUGGAGCAAUUUUACGAAAUAAAUCCACAUCCAAGCUAUCAUAGACAACUUUUGACCCGUUCCAGCCAUUUUCAAUUUAAUUACCCAUUUGACCAUUUAUUGGUCAUGUAUGUACUAACCGGUUUAUUGGUUCAAAUUAUAUAUAUGUAUGUGUAUGUCUCUGUUUUGAACCUAAUAAAUCCGAUUUGGGGGUAGUAGUCAGGGCAAAAGCUGGUAAGAAGCAAUCGUCAGAAGAUGCUGGUGGCAAAAUUGCACGUUCUGCAGGAGCUUCAAUGAGCACUAAACCCACAAGGUGAUGGUAACUUUAACUCACAUGCAACACGAGAAAAAAUGUGGUGGUUUGCCUUUGGCUAUAAAGGCAAUCGGAAGGCUACUGAGAACGAAAACAGAUGGAGAAGAUUGGGAUGACCUGUUGAAUAGUGAGAUAUGGGAUCUAGAAAAUGCAAAUGAAAUUGUUCCAACCCUUAGGCUAAGCUACCGUGAUGAUGAUGAGGACAAUUGAAACGCUUUAAAGGUGGAUGAAGCCAAUGUUGUUCAAAGUAAACAAACACACAGGUGCUGCUGGAGUAGAAGCUGCAGCAGGGCUAAUGAAUGCCAACGUUGCUCAUAAAGAGGCUUCCGAAGGUUUGGUUUUAUACUGUCAUGGAACUUAUACCCAUGGCAUGCUAAAGGAUCUUCAAGACCAGUAUUGAGAAAGAUUUAAUUUAGCAGUGUAAUAGACAGCAAAAUGGAGUAAACGGUCACAUAUGUUCAUUGAAUCAGCAUUUUAAUAACAAUCAAAGUCUUAAGUGUCAUCGCCAUUUGUUGACCCGUUUUCCCCUGUGAAGCUACCAGAUAACUGGGAGAAUACACCCCUUAGCCAUUAUAGUUGGUCCUACGGGACGUGACAUGGUGGUUGUGGGCUUGAUCUCUUAAAGGGUGGUUUUGUUCCAACGGUGGAAAUAGAAGGCGGUGGGUGGUGGUUGAUGUGGGCGGUAACGGAGCGAGAGACAGUGAGGUAGCGACCGGAUAUGGCUGACGCCCGCGGGGAGGGAUUUAUCGGAGAUGGUGAGGGGUGGUCGCUGGUCUUUAGUCUUUAUGUCAUUGCAUCUAAAUAUUUUUAAAGGUUGCAAAUAGUCCCUAACAAGAUAUAAAGUUGUAUCUUAUUAUUGCAAUAAAAUUUAACCUUAUUCUUA
Helianthus annuus (common sunflower) is the source of this 2728-nucleotide long non-coding RNA. RefSeq lists it as uncharacterized. The record is from RefSeq and is a predicted model, not a curated record. The transcript has 5 exons. NCBI's taxonomy places the organism in Eukaryota, Viridiplantae, Streptophyta, Magnoliopsida, Asterales, Asteraceae.